RNAcentral lists this ribosomal RNA (437 nucleotides) under Escherichia coli. RNAcentral's name for it is "bacterial LSU rRNA". It matches the Rfam family "Bacterial large subunit ribosomal RNA", at positions 347 to 789 of the family's 2925-position model. Lineage: Bacteria; Pseudomonadati; Pseudomonadota; Gammaproteobacteria; Enterobacterales; Enterobacteriaceae. The record is from RNAcentral.
AAGGCGCGCGAUACAGGGUGACAGCCCCGUACACAAAAAUGCACAUGCUGUGAGCUCGAUGAGUAGGGCGGGACACGUGGUAUCCUGUCUGAAUAUGGGGGGACCAUCCUCCAAGGCUAAAUACUCCUGACUGACCGAUAGUGAACCAGUACCGUGAGGGAAAGGCGAAAAGAACCCCGGCGAGGGGAGUGAAAAAGAACCUGAAACCGUGUACGUACAAGCAGUGGGAGCACGCUUAGGCGUGUGACUGCGUUCCUUUUGUAUAAUGGGUCAGCGACUUAUAUUCUGUAGCAAGGUUAACCGAAUAGGGGAGCCGAAGGGAAACCGAGUCUUAACUGGGCGUUAAGUUGCAGGGUAUAGACCCGAAACCCGGUGAUCUAGCCAUGGGCAGGUUGAAGGUUGGGUAACACUAACUGGAGGACCGAACCGACUAAUGU